GGGCGAUUAGCUCAGUUGGUCAGAGCGCCUGCUUUACACGCAGGAUGUCCGCGGUUCAAGUCCGCGAUUGCCCACCA
Molecule: transfer RNA, 77 nt
Filed under: Pseudomonadales bacterium
Lineage: Bacteria; Pseudomonadati; Pseudomonadota; Gammaproteobacteria; Pseudomonadales
Also listed under: 2 other names
Description: tRNA-Val
Rfam family: tRNA
About the family: Transfer RNA (tRNA) molecules are approximately 80 nucleotides in length.
Source: RNAcentral